UACGUAGGGUGCAAGCGUUGUCCGGAAUUAUUGGGCGUAAAGAGCUCGUAGGCGGUCUGUUGCGUCGGCUGUGAAAACCCGGGGCUCAACUCCGGGCCUGCAUUCGAUACGGGCAGGCUAGAGUUCGGUAGGGGAGACUGGAAUUCCUGGUGUAGCGGUGAAAUGCGCAGAUAUCAGGAGGAACACCGAUGGCGAAGGCAGGUCUCUGGGCCGAUACUGACGCUGAGGAGCGAAAGCGUGGGGAGCGAACAGG
Molecule: ribosomal RNA, 253 nt
Filed under: uncultured bacterium
Lineage: Bacteria
Description: partial 16S ribosomal RNA
Rfam family: Bacterial small subunit ribosomal RNA
Source: RNAcentral